RNAcentral lists this long non-coding RNA (2380 nucleotides) under Brachypodium distachyon (stiff brome). RNAcentral's name for it is "long non-coding RNA (BDIS_LNC001275)". The record is from RNAcentral. Lineage: Eukaryota; Viridiplantae; Streptophyta; Magnoliopsida; Poales; Poaceae.
UAUCAAUGUACAGAUAGAUUGGUCGCAUUAGCACGAAAAUGUAGAUCACAUAACCAUUGGCUAAUGAGAUGAUGACAAAUGUAUGAGCCUCAGCAGCCCCUAAGAGGCAAUGAGAACAACCAUAAUACAGAUUGGUGCUUCAGUUGUGUGAUACCACGUGUAGUGAUCUUGGCAUUUCAAAUGGCAUCAGUUAAAAAUAUGAAGCAUGAAUCAUCAUAAAGCCAGCAACAGCAAUGCCAAAUCCAGCUCCCUAAAUAGUUCUAAAAUUCAGACCGGAGGAAACCUUGAAAUAGAGCACAUGCAGAUCCAAAAAACAACUAGAUGAACGCUGAUGAAGCCACUAAAGAACAACCAACCCAUGUGGGCACAGAUCCACUAACAAGCAUGCAUAGUUUCCCUCACACAGGCACAAUCUCAACAGCCGCCCACGCAUGGCCUCACCCGCCGACGAGCAAACCUAAAACAUCCGGUACGCAAUGGACUGCCUCCCACGAACACCAACAGCGAACCCAAAAAUGGCCCAGCAUCAAAAUACCCAACAAGCAGCGGAUUAAAAACAGCACAAGGCGGUACGAACUAACAGCGCACACAUACCAGAGCUCGCCGCCGCCGAGGACAGAUCCAACCACACCGGCCCCCUCCGCUGUUUCUCAAGGGUGAGGACAAAAAUCAGAGCGCUGAGCUAUGUGGAGAGGAACAUAGCUCUGUUAGAAAGGGUGAAUACGAACUUGAUGCUCACCGAACAGCAGUGGCGCGGCCGAAGCUUCCGUGAGGAAGAAGAGAUGAGAGGAUUUUAAAUUAGCAAAAAAAUAAUUCGUCGGGCGGGCAACAAAAGGCAAAAGGCUAAAAAACUGAAGGAGCUCAUCACGCGAAUCUCAAAGAGAGAUCGUGCGGCCACACAGUCGUCUAGUUUAAAAAAAAAACCAGGCGCCUGGUGUAUAGCAAAUCCGAUAUAACAAACCCCCAUUUCGCUCAAAAAAAAUAAAAAACCCCGUUAGAUUAGGGUUUCAUCGCAAUAUCCCACCGCCGCGCCGCACCUCUUCGCUCCCCUCCGCUCAUGGCGACCGAGGAAGUUGAGUAUGCUGCUGCAUCCCACGCCAAGAUCAGACGCCUGAUUGGGUGGCCUAAGCGCCCUUUGAGAUUGGACUCGAAAAGGGUAAGAUACCGGAAAGGGACUUCGGCCCGAAGGGAGAGCCCGGUUCAGAAACAGACAAGACAGCUUCGGCCCGCUAGGGAGCGCUUGCUUUCUGGUUCGGGAACAGACAGUUCCGUCCCGAAGGGCGAGCCCUGUUCGGAAACAAUCACAUGGGCUCGGGUAGGUGUAAAGAAAAAGAUGGGCCCCAAGAUUGGGGAUGGGGUUGACUUCGGCCCGAAGGGAGAGCCCGGGUUCGGGCAUGGGUUCGGAUUGGUGGGAAAAACAGGCAGCGGAUUAGCUUGACGAGAUGGAGCCGGAGUUGCAACCGGACACGAUUCAAGGGGAUACGGUUUGAUUGAGAAACGGUUUUUUCGCUAUACUAGCACGUCCAGAAUCGUGAGUCAAGGGGUCUUGACGAUAGAUUGUACGUUUGAUGUGUUAAACGGUUGUUUAAACAGGGGUUUAUUAGUCAAUGCGUGCGGGUGGGUGUGUGUGCGCGUCAUGCGCACACGCGUAACGGGUGCGAGCUAUAACCGCACGCAUACACACAGGCAUGUGCACUCGAGCUAUAACCGCACGCAUGCAUACCCGCGUAUGUGCUUGCGUGCAUAUGCGCAUGAUAAUAGCUAGUCCAUAUUAUGGACUAGCUAUUAUUCCUGCAUGCGUGGAAAGAAGGGAUUUUUACAUCUAAUAAACACGUAUAGAUACUAACAUAGUAAACGAUUAACCAUAGAAUCCAUAGUAUAACAUAGUAUAACAUAGGUUCUUUAUUCUUUUUUAGAAUGAAAUUAGGAAGGAUUAUGAAAUAAAAAAUUAAUAAUUUUUUUAGAAUUAUUGUGAAUCCAUUCUAAUUGAAUCUUGAGUAAUCAAAUCCUUCAAUUCAAAGUACUUGAGAUCUUUUAAAAAGUGGAUUAAUUGGACGAGGACAAAGAGAGAGUCCCAUUCUACAUGUCAAUACUGACAACAAUGAAAUUUCGAGUAAAAGGAAAAUCCGUCGACUUUAUAAGUUGUGAGGGUUCAAGUCCCUCUAUCCCCAAAUCCUUUUUAUUCCCCAACUAUCCUCUUUUAUUCCCUAACUUUUAUCCUCUUUUUUUCUUUUUAUCAAUGGGUUUAAGAUUCAUUAGCUUUCUCAUUCUACUCUUUCACAAAGGAGUGCGAAGAGAACUCAAUGGAUCUUAUCCUAUUCAUCGAAUAGAUUUCUUUUUUAUUAGAGUAUCCGCAAGGACUCUCGGUUAUUAACUCUAU